Molecule: ribosomal RNA, 460 nt
Filed under: uncultured bacterium
Lineage: Bacteria
Description: partial 16S ribosomal RNA
Rfam family: Bacterial small subunit ribosomal RNA
Source: RNAcentral
CCUACGGGGGGCAGCAGUGAGGACUAUUGGUCAAUGGACGAGAGUCUGAACCAGCCAAGUAGCGUGAAGGAUGACUGCCCUCUGGGUUGUACACUUCUUUUAUCAGGGAAUAAAACGAGGCCCGUGUGCCUUUUUGCCUGUCCUUUAUGACUAAGGAUCGGCUAACUCCGUGCCAGCAGCCGCGGUAAUCCGGAGGACCCGAGCGUUAUCCUGAUUUCUUGGGUUUAACGGGAGCGUAGUUGGGUUGUUAAGUCAGUUGUGAAAGUUUGCGGCUUAACCGUAAAAUGGCAAUUGAUACUGGCAGUCUGGAGUACAGUUGAGGGAGGCGGAAUUCGUGGUGUAGCGGUGAAAUGCUUAGAUAUCACGAAGAACCCCGAUUGCGAAGGCAGCUUACUAAACUGUGACUGACAUUGAUGCUCGAAAGUGUGGGUAUCAAACAGGAUUAGAUACCCUUGUAGUC